AUUUGGCAAUCGAUAUUUCGGAAGACAUCAUCACACGUGUCAAACAAAAGUUAAAAAAAUAGCCAGUCCCAUUAAAAUCACCAAAUGCAAUCAAAUAACAUGCUCCAUUAUGUAUUGACUUUCAUGAGAAUUAGCAGGAAAAAAAAAAGUACAUUCAGUUAAGCAAAUAGCAACCUUUGAUUGUUCUUUAACAUUACUAAAAAUCUAAUUCUUACUUUACUUGAUUGUAUUGUCGAAUCUUUCUGAAAAGGUAGAAGAUAAAUCCCAUUUAUUGGAAUUGUUUGGAGGACGUGUUUUGUUCAAUGUUAGUAAUUUGACAGUUAAGAAAUGAACAGAAAAUUGUUGUUGGUAGGGCAUGACGUCUCAUGUGCUUUAAAUUUCAAAAAUUUAUAUCUUUUGGACAUGGAAACUACUCAGCAAGGCAAUGGUGACUCAACAAUAUUAUAUAUAUGGAAAUCUUUAGGUGAAUUGAAGAUGAGAACGAGGGAUUGCAUAAGCUACAAGAAUGAACGGUCAUUUGUAAAGUACAGCGAAUAGGGUCCAUUAGAUCAAAUCAAGUAGAGUAGAAGAAAAUGAAUUACACUUAUGCUACAAUCAGUUUCAAUUUCUUUCAUCUGUUAACCGUCUAUAAACAAGAAACAAGCUCUAAGCCACCAAUGGGCUAUAAACAGAGCUUCAUUCAAGAGAGUUAAAGUUACCCCAAGUUCUGAAAAUUGAGAGCAUGUACAAGUGAGCUUUUACAGAGAUUUUUCAGAGAAUGUUUUCUUAACUAUUCUAGAGGGAUUUAUAUCGGAUUUUGAGAAUUGUUCCCAUUCAAAGCCCAACCCCAAUUCAUGAGCCUAAAUAAUAAACCAAACAAAAGAGAAUAUUCUCUCCAUUUAUCUAGAAUUAUCUUUUCUAAAAAUAUCAUGAAUAAUUGGCGCUGUGGCAGUUUUAAAAUUUGGUGAUUGCUAAGAAAUUAAUGGUAAUAAGUUUGGAAUGUCGUUAUAUGUUAGGACUUGCAUUUAAAAUCUUAAAUAUUCGUAAUUAAUUAUAAAGAUCUCGGUUCACCUGCAAGCUAAAACAAUUAGCUAACUGAUAUAUGGUAUUUUUUAAAAAACUAUUCAAAAAGAAAGUAUAAUUAAUCAAACUGAUUUGGACAGUACCACACGAUUUUUUUUAAUUGACAAACCAACAAAAACAACAUAUUAAC
This 1192-nucleotide long non-coding RNA is filed under the name Citrus x clementina. RNAcentral's name for it is "Citrus clementina (C. clementina) long non-coding RNA (CCLE_LNC006045)". The record is from RNAcentral. Lineage: Eukaryota; Viridiplantae; Streptophyta; Magnoliopsida; Sapindales; Rutaceae.